AUAGUGUAGUGGUUAUCACGUCUGCUUUACACGCAGAAGGUCCUGGGUUCGAGCCCCAGUGGAACCAUGAGAUGUUACCUAGCGUUUUGUGAGCCAGGUGUUGGGUUUUGCACCAGGAAGCUGGCGACGAACCCGUGUCUCAAGAAUUUCUACGGCUUGUUUCCCGCCUGCUGCAUCAGCCCGGUUUCUCUUAGCGCUCGGCGCUGAGUCGGCCUCCGCGGCGGCCCCCGUAUGGCGCCUCUCUGGAGGUGCAGGCGGCUCCGCUCCACCGAGGCUUCGCUCGCCCCUGCGCCUGCGCCUUUCCACUACCUGGCCAGCCGGCUUCUGGGUUCCUGGGUGUUGCCCCUUGGCUCACCUACCUUCUCCUAAGCCUUGCUUGGGCCAUCUCUAAAAAUUGCCACCACUAAGUCGAAGGACAUCACGAAGGCCGCC
This 432-nucleotide long non-coding RNA is filed under the name Homo sapiens (human). RNAcentral's name for it is "HSALNT0175574". The stretch from base 1 to 67 matches the Rfam family "tRNA". The record is from RNAcentral. Lineage: Eukaryota; Metazoa; Chordata; Mammalia; Primates; Hominidae.